Molecule: ribosomal RNA, 2927 nt
Filed under: Enterobacter ludwigii
Lineage: Bacteria; Pseudomonadati; Pseudomonadota; Gammaproteobacteria; Enterobacterales; Enterobacteriaceae
Also listed under: 1 other name
Description: 23S ribosomal RNA
Rfam family: Bacterial large subunit ribosomal RNA
Source: RNAcentral
GGGUUGUGAGGUUAAGCGACUAAGCGUACACGGUGGAUGCCCUGGCAGUCAGAGGCGAUGAAGGACGUGCUAAUCUGCGAAAAGCGCCGGCGAGGUGAUAUGAACCUUUGACCCGGCGAUGUCCGAAUGGGGAAACCCAGUGUGUUCCGACACACUAUCGUUAACUGAAUACAUAGGUUAACGAGGCGAACCGGGGGAACUGAAACAUCUAAGUACCCCGAGGAAAAGAAAUCAACCGAGAUUCCCCCAGUAGCGGCGAGCGAACGGGGAGCAGCCCAGAGUCUGAAUCAGCUUGUGUGUUAGUGGAAGCGUCUGGAAAGUCGCACGGUACAGGGUGACAGUCCCGUACACGAAAGCACACAGGCUGUGAACUCGAAGAGUAGGGCGGGACACGUGGUAUCCUGUCUGAAUAUGGGGGGACCAUCCUCCAAGGCUAAAUACUCCUGACUGACCGAUAGUGAACCAGUACCGUGAGGGAAAGGCGAAAAGAACCCCGGCGAGGGGAGUGAAAAAGAACCUGAAACCGUGUACGUACAAGCAGUGGGAGCCUCUUUAUGGGGUGACUGCGUACCUUUUGUAUAAUGGGUCAGCGACUUAUAUUCUGUAGCAAGGUUAACCGUAUAGGGGAGCCGAAGGGAAACCGAGUCUUAACUGGGCGUUAAGUUGCAGGGUAUAGACCCGAAACCCGGUGAUCUAGCCAUGGGCAGGUUGAAGGUUGGGUAACACUAACUGGAGGACCGAACCGACUAAUGUUGAAAAAUUAGCGGAUGACUUGUGGCUGGGGGUGAAAGGCCAAUCAAACCGGGAGAUAGCUGGUUCUCCCCGAAAGCUAUUUAGGUAGCGCCUCGUGAACUCAUCUUCGGGGGUAGAGCACUGUUUCGGCUAGGGGGCCAUCCCGGCUUACCAACCCGAUGCAAACUACGAAUACCGAAGAAUGUUAUCACGGGAGACACACGGCGGGUGCUAACGUCCGUCGUGAAGAGGGAAACAACCCAGACCGCCAGCUAAGGUCCCAAAGUCAUGGUUAAGUGGGAAACGAUGUGGGAAGGCACAGACAGCCAGGAUGUUGGCUUAGAAGCAGCCAUCAUUUAAAGAAAGCGUAAUAGCUCACUGGUCGAGUCGGCCUGCGCGGAAGAUGUAACGGGGCUAAACCAUGCACCGAAGCUGCGGCAGCGACGCUUAUGCGUUGUUGGGUAGGGGAGCGUUCUGUAAGCCGUUGAAGGUGUCCUGUGAGGGGUGCUGGAGGUAUCAGAAGUGCGAAUGCUGACAUAAGUAACGAUAAAGCGGGUGAAAAGCCCGCUCGCCGGAAGACCAAGGGUUCCUGUCCAACGUUAAUCGGGGCAGGGUGAGUCGACCCCUAAGGCGAGGCCGAAAGGCGUAGUCGAUGGGAAACAGGUUAAUAUUCCUGUACUUGGUGUUACUGCGAAGGGGGGACGGAGAAGGCUAUGUUAGCCGGGCGACGGUUGUCCCGGUUUAAGCAUGUAGGCGGAGGUUCCAGGUAAAUCCGGUUCCUUGUUAACGCUGAGGUGUGAUGACGAGGCACUACGGUGCUGAAGUAACAAAUGCCCUGCUUCCAGGAAAAGCCUCUAAGCAUCAGGUAACAUCAAAUCGUACCCCAAACCGACACAGGUGGUCAGGUAGAGAAUACCAAGGCGCUUGAGAGAACUCGGGUGAAGGAACUAGGCAAAAUGGUGCCGUAACUUCGGGAGAAGGCACGCUGAUAUGUAGGUGAAGCCCCUGCGGGUGGAGCUGAAAUCAGUCGAAGAUACCAGCUGGCUGCAACUGUUUAUUAAAAACACAGCACUGUGCAAACACGAAAGUGGACGUAUACGGUGUGACGCCUGCCCGGUGCCGGAAGGUUAAUUGAUGGGGUUAGCGGUAACGCGAAGCUCUUGAUCGAAGCCCCGGUAAACGGCGGCCGUAACUAUAACGGUCCUAAGGUAGCGAAAUUCCUUGUCGGGUAAGUUCCGACCUGCACGAAUGGCGUAAUGAUGGCCAGGCUGUCUCCACCCGAGACUCAGUGAAAUUGAACUCGCUGUGAAGAUGCAGUGUACCCGCGGCAAGACGGAAAGACCCCGUGAACCUUUACUAUAGCUUGACACUGAACACUGGUCCUUGAUGUGUAGGAUAGGUGGGAGGCUUUGAAGCGUGGACGCCAGUCUGCGUGGAGCCAACCUUGAAAUACCACCCUUUAAUGGCUGGUGUUCUAACGUAGACCCGUAAUCCGGGUUGCGGACAGUGUCUGGUGGGUAGUUUGACUGGGGCGGUCUCCUCCCAAAGAGUAACGGAGGAGCACGAAGGUUAGCUAAUCCUGGUCGGACAUCAGGAGGUUAGUGCAAUGGCAUAAGCUAGCUUGACUGCGAGAGUGACGGCUCGAGCAGGUGCGAAAGCAGGUCAUAGUGAUCCGGUGGUUCUGAAUGGAAGGGCCAUCGCUCAACGGAUAAAAGGUACUCCGGGGAUAACAGGCUGAUACCGCCCAAGAGUUCAUAUCGACGGCGGUGUUUGGCACCUCGAUGUCGGCUCAUCACAUCCUGGGGCUGAAGUAGGUCCCAAGGGUAUGGCUGUUCGCCAUUUAAAGUGGUACGCGAGCUGGGUUUAGAACGUCGUGAGACAGUUCGGUCCCUAUCUGCCGUGGGCGCUGGAGAAUUGAGGGGGGCUGCUCCUAGUACGAGAGGACCGGAGUGGACGCAUCACUGGUGUUCGGGUUGUCAUGCCAAUGGCACUGCCCGGUAGCUAAAUGCGGAAGAGAUAAGUGCUGAAAGCAUCUAAGCACGAAACUUGCCCCGAGAUGAGUUCUCCCUGAGACUUUAAGUCUCCUGAAGGAACGUUGAAGACUACGACGUUGAUAGGUCGGGUGUGUAAGCGCAGCGAUGCGUUGAGCUAACCGAUACUAAUGAACCGUGAGGCUUAACCUUACAACGCCGAAG